RNAcentral lists this ribosomal RNA (491 nucleotides) under uncultured bacterium. RNAcentral describes it as "partial 16S ribosomal RNA". It matches the Rfam family "Bacterial small subunit ribosomal RNA", at positions 28 to 507 of the family's 1533-position model. The record is from RNAcentral.
GAUGAACGCUUGCUACAGGCUUAACACAUGCAAGUCGAGGGGAAACGAUGAGAGAGCUUGCUCUCUUAGUCGUCGACCGGCGCACGGGUGAGUAGCGCGUAUCCAACCUGCCUCUGACCAAGGGAUAACCCGUCGAAAGUCGGACUAAUACCUUAUGCAGUCGUCGGAAGUCAUCUGAUGACGACGAAAGAUUUCAUCGGUGAGAGAUGGGGAUGCGUCUGAUUAGCUUGUUGGCGGGGUAACGGCCCACCAAGGCGACGAUCAGUAGGGGUUCUGAGAGGAAGGGCCCCCAGAUUGGAACUGGGACACGGUCCAAACUCCUACGGGAGGCAGCAGUGAGGAAUAUUGGUCAAUGGGCGUAAGCCUGAACCAGCCAAGUAGCGUGCAGGAUGACGGCCCUAUGGGUUGUAAACUGCUUUUAGGCGGGGAUAAAGUGAGGGACGUGUCCUUCAUUGCAGGUACCGCAUGAAUAAGAACCGGCUAAUUCCGUG